RNAcentral lists this ribosomal RNA (1491 nucleotides) under uncultured bacterium. RNAcentral describes it as "16S ribosomal RNA". It matches the Rfam family "Bacterial small subunit ribosomal RNA". The record is from RNAcentral.
AGAGUUUGAUCCUGGCUCAGGACGAACGCUGGCGGCGUGCCUAACACAUGCAAGUCGAGCGGAGAUUUCUUUGGCACUGAGUACUCUAGUGAUGACGCAAACAGCGGCGGACGGGUGAGUAACACGUGGGCAACCUGCCUCGAAGUGGGGGAUAACACCGAGAAAUCGGUGCUAAUACCGCAUAACAUACAGACAUCACCUGAUGACUGUAUCAAAGGAGAAAUCCGCUUUGAGAUGGGCCCGCGGCUGAUUAGCUAGUUGGUGAGGUAAUGGCUCACCAAGGCGACGAUCAGUAGCCGACCUGAGAGGGUGAACGGCCACACUGGAACUGAGACACGGUCCAGACUCCUACGGGAGGCAGCAGUGGGGAAUAUUGCACAAUGGGCGCAAGCCUGAUGCAGCAACGCCGCGUGAGUGAUGAAGGCCUUCGGGUCGUAAAACUCUGUCCUAAGGGAAGAAGAAGUGACGGUACCUUAGGAGGAAGCCCCGGCUAACUACGUGCCAGCAGCCGCGGUAAUACGUAGGGGGCAAGCGUUAUCCGGAAUCACUGGGCGUAAAGGGUGCGUAGGCGGCUGAUCAAGCCAGGGGUGAAAGGCAAUAGCUUAACUAUUGUGAGCCUUUGGAACUGGUCAGCUUGAGUGCAGGAGAGGAAAGCGGAAUUCCUAGUGUAGCGGUGAAAUGCGUAGAUAUUAGGAGGAACACCCGUGGCGAAGGCGGCUUUCUGGACUGUAACUGACGCUGAGGCACGAAAGCGUGGGGAGCAAACAGGAUUAGAUACCCUGGUAGUCCACGCUGUAAACGAUGAAUACUAGGUGUCGGGGGUCAAAGCCCGGUGCCGCAGCUAACGCAUUAAGUAUUCCGCCUGGGGAGUACGGUCGCAAGAUUGAAACUCAAAGGAAUUGACGGGGGCCCGCACAAGCAGCGGAGCAUGUGGUUUAAUUCGAAGCAACGCGAAGAACCUUACCAGGUCUUGACAUCCCUCUGACCGGUCCGUAACGGGACCUUCCCUUCGGGACAGAGGAGACAGGUGGUGCAUGGUUGUCGUCAGCUCGUGUCGUGAGAUGUUGGGUUAAGUCCCGCAACGAGCGCAACCCUUGCCUUUAGUUGCCAGCACAUAAUGGUGGGCACUCUAAAGAGACUGCCGGUGUCAAACCGGAGGAAGGUGGGGAUGACGUCAAGUCCUCAUGGCCUUUAUGACCAGGGCUACACACGUACUACAAUGGCCGGUACAAAGGGCAGCAACACAGCGAUGUGAAGCCAAUCCCAUAAAGCCGGUCUCAGUCCGGAUUGGAGUCUGCAACUCGACUCCAUGAAGUUGGAAUCGCUAGUAAUCGCGGAUCAGCACGCCACGGUGAAUACGUUCCCGGGCCUUGUACACACCGCCCGUCACACCAUGGAAGUUGGGGGGACCCGAAGCCAGUGAUCCAACCGUAAGGAGGAAGCUGUCGAAGGUAAAACCAAUGACUGGGGUGAAGUCGUAACAAGGUAACC